Molecule: ribosomal RNA, 253 nt
Filed under: uncultured microorganism
Description: partial 16S ribosomal RNA
Rfam family: Bacterial small subunit ribosomal RNA
Source: RNAcentral
UACGGAGGGGGCAAGCGUUGUUCGGAGUUACUGGGCGUAAAGCGCGCGUAGGCGGUGCGGUAAGUCAGGGGUUAAAGGCUGCAGCUCAACUGCAGUAAGGCCUUUGAUACUAUCGUGCUAGAGUGUCAGAGAGGAUGGCGGAAUUCCCGGUGUAGCGGUGAAAUGCGUAGAUAUCGGGAGGAAUACCAGUGGCGAAGGCGGCCAUCUGGCUGAUAACUGACGCUGAGGUGCGAGAGCGUGGGGAGCAAACAGG